Molecule: non-coding RNA, 1299 nt
Organism: Benincasa hispida (wax gourd)
Lineage: Eukaryota; Viridiplantae; Streptophyta; Magnoliopsida; Cucurbitales; Cucurbitaceae
Source: RefSeq, a predicted model, not a curated record
GGUGUUAAAGGAUACCGUCGAUGGAGCUUAGAAAAAGAUGAAGAAAAAUGCUUUAUUAGCUGUGACGUGUUGUUUGAUGAAUCCACUAUUGCAGUGAAAGAGGGGCCACAAACCAAUACGAAAAAACAGGACAAAAUGAUUUGAAUCACAAGAGAGAGAUCUAAUCCAAGAGGGCUCUUUCAGUCAAGAUGGAGCUACCAGCUCAGGAAAUUUGUCCAAUGAUGAAGAAGUUUCACAAGGUAAUUUUGAAAAUUCAACAUAUGAACAACCAUUGACUGAUACACAUCCUGCUGCUACAUCUCAAUUGGUGUAGCCCCAAAUCUUCAAUCCUAUUAAUUAGCUAGAGAUAGGCAGAGAAGAGAGAUCAAACAACCCUCAAGGUAUGCCUUUGCUGAUUUAGUAUUUUAUGCCUUAAAUGCUGAAAUAAAUCAAGCUCAAAAUGAACCUUUAUCAUAUAAUGAAGCCAUUAACUCACCUGAUAAACACAAAUGGAUUCCUGCAAUGAAGGAAGAAAUGGCAUCAUUGUAUAAAAAUGAUACUUGGACUUUAGUUAAUAAACCAUAAAAUUAGAAACUUGUAGGGUGUAAAUGGAUUUAAAAGCUAAAUAAUAAUGUGGAUCCCAAAGAAUCAUUUAAAUAUAAGGAAAGACUUGUGGCCAAAGGAUUUACUCAAACUCAAGAAAUAGAUUAUGAGAAAAUUUUUGCUCCCCUCGUUUGUCAUACUUCAAUAAGAGUUCUAUUGUCUCUAACUGUUGCUUUUGAUAUGGAGUUAUAACAGCUAGAUGUAAAAACUGCAUUCUUGCAUGGAGAUUUAAAUGAAACCAUAUAUAUGCAACAAUCGGUUGGAUUUGUUGAUACCAAAGCUCUAUAUAAGUUGGAGAACAUCCCUUUAGUUUGUUGUUGGCUAUCAACUACUGAAACUGAAGCUAUUAAAGAAGCCAUUUGAUUGAAAGAACUUACAAAUUAACUAGUGGAUGAUAAAAGCAUUGUGAGAGAUUUUUUGUGAUAGUCAAAAUGCUGUCUUUCUAUCCAAAAACUAAGACAUUUCAUGACAGAUCAAAGCACAUUGACAUCAUGUAUCAUUUUCUUAGAGAGAUUUUACUUAAAGGAAAGUUUACUCUUAUGUUGCAGAUGCUUUCACUAAGCUAUUGUCUUUGAAUGAACUUGAGAGUUGUUUAAAAACUCUCAAGGUCUACUCUAUAUAAGCCUUAGUGCUUGAUGUCACUGUAUUGAAGUUAUUUAUGUAGCUUGUUAUUCAUUUACAAUCAAAAGGUGGAGAUUGAUGAUUAUUGAUUCGCAA